This 412-nucleotide ribosomal RNA is filed under the name Platorchestia sp. 4 TT-2020. RNAcentral's name for it is "partial 16S ribosomal RNA". The record is from RNAcentral. Lineage: Eukaryota; Metazoa; Arthropoda; Malacostraca; Amphipoda; Talitridae.
GUAGCAAAAUAAUUUGUUUUUUAAUUGAGAACUGGAAUGAAAGGCUUAACAAAUAUAUAAUUUUUUCUUUUAAAUAAUUAAAAUUUUUAAUUUGUGUAAAAGUACACAAAUAAUCUUAAGGGACGACAAGACCCUAAAAGCUUUAUUAUUAAAAUUUUUAUUAUUAUUAAAAUUUAAAUUAUUAAAGAAUAAUUUGACUGGGGCGGUUGUUUUUAUAACAAAAAUUUUUUCUUACAAAUAGGAUUAAAGAUCCUUUAAAUUAGGAUAGAUUGUUUAAGUUACUUUAGGGGUAACAGCGUAAUAAUAAUAGGGAGACCGUAUUUAUAUUAUUGAUUGCGACCUCGAUGUUGGAUUAAAUUCUCUAUAUAAAGCAAAAAUUAUAUGUGAAAGUUUGUUCAACUUUUUAAAAUUU